RNAcentral lists this transfer RNA (89 nucleotides) under Tistlia consotensis USBA 355. RNAcentral's name for it is "alpha proteobacterium USBA 355 tRNA". It matches the Rfam family "tRNA". From Rfam's summary of the family: Transfer RNA (tRNA) molecules are approximately 80 nucleotides in length. Their secondary structure includes four short double-helical elements and three loops (D, anti-codon, and T loops). Lineage: Bacteria; Pseudomonadati; Pseudomonadota; Alphaproteobacteria; Rhodospirillales; Rhodovibrionaceae. RNAcentral also lists the same sequence under 1 other name. The record is from Rfam by way of RNAcentral.
GGAGGGGUGGCCGAGUGGCUGAAGGCGACGGUUUGCUAAACCGUUAUAGGUGUUAAAGCCUAUCGAGGGUUCGAAUCCCUUCCCCUCCG